GGGUUGUGAGGUUAAGCGACUAAGCGUACACGGUGGAUGCCCUGGCAGUCAGAGGCGAUGAAGGGCGUGCUAAUCUGCGAUAAGCGCCGGUAAGGUGAUAUGAACCGUUAUAACCGGCGAUACCCGAAUGGGGAAACCCAGUGUGAUUCGUCACACUAUCAUUAACUGAAUCCAUAGGUUAAUGAGGCGAACCGGGGGAACUGAAACAUCUAAGUACCCCGAGGAAAAGAAAUCAACCGAGAUUCCCCCAGUAGCGGCGAGCGAACGGGGAGGAGCCCAGAGCCUGAAUCAGCAUGUGUGUUAGUGGAAGCGUCUGGAAAGGCGCGCGAUACAGGGUGACAGCCCCGUACACAAAAGCGCAUGUGCUGUGAGCUCGAUGAGUAGGGCGGGACACGUGGUAUCCUGUCUGAAUAUGGGGGGACCAUCCUCCAAGGCUAAAUACUCCUGACUGACCGAUAGUGAACCAGUACCGUGAGGGAAAGGCGAAAAGAACCCCGGCGAGGGGAGUGAAAAAGAACCUGAAACCGUGUACGUACAAGCAGUGGGAGCNNNNNNNNNNNNNNNNNNNNNNNNNNNNNNNNNNNNNNNNNNNNNNGGGCGUUAAGUUGCAGGGUAUAGACCCGAAACCCGGUGAUCUAGCCAUGGGCAGGUUGAAGGUUGGGUAACACUAACUGGAGGACCGAACCGACUAAUGUUGAAAAAUUAGCGGAUGACCUGUGGCUGGGGGUGAAAGGCCAAUCAAACCGGGAGAUAGCUGGUUCUCCCCGAAAGCUAUUUAGGUAGCGCCUCGUGAAUUCAUCUCCGGGGGUAGAGCACUGUUUCGGCUAGGGGGCCAUCCCGGCUUACCAACCCGAUGCAAACUGCGAAUACCGGAGAAUGUUAUCACGGGAGACACACGGCGGGUGCUAACGUCCGUCGUGAAGAGGGAAACAACCCAGACCGCCAGCUAAGGUCCCAAAGUCAUGGUUAAGUGGGAAACGAUGUGGGAAGGCCCAGACAGCCAGGAUGUUGGCUUAGAAGCAGCCAUCAUUUAAAGAAAGCGUAAUAGCUCACUGGUCGAGUCGGCCUGCGCGGAAGAUGUAACGGGGCUAAACCAUGCACCGAAGCUGCGGCAGCGACACUGUGUGUUGUUGGGUAGGGGAGCGUUCUGUAAGCCUGCGAAGGUGGCCUGUGAGGGUUGCUGGAGGUAUCAGAAGUGCGAAUGCUGACAUAAGUAACGAUAAAGCGGGUGAAAAGCCCGCUCGCCGGAAGACCAAGGGUUCCUGUCCAACGUUAAUCGGGGCAGGGUGAGUCGACCCCUAAGGCGAGGCCGAAAGGCGUAGUCGAUGGGAAACGGGUUAAUAUUCCCGUACUUGGUGUUACUGCGAAGGGGGGACGGAGAAGGCUAUGUUGGCCGGGCGACGGUUGUCCCGGUUUAAGCGUGUAGGUGUGUGUUCCAGGUAAAUCCGGUUCACUUUAACACUGAGGCGUGACGACGAGGCACUACGGUGCUGAAGCAACAAAUGCCCUGCUUCCAGGAAAAGCCUCUAAGCAUCAGGUAACAUCAAAUCGUACCCCAAACCGACACAGGUGGUCAGGUAGAGAAUACCAAGGCGCUUGAGAGAACUCGGGUGAAGGAACUAGGCAAAAUGGUGCCGUAACUUCGGGAGAAGGCACGCUGACACGUAGGUGAAGUGAUUUACUCAUGGAGCUGAAGUCAGUCGAAGAUACCAGCUGGCUGCAACUGUUUAUUAAAAACACAGCACUGUGCAAACACGAAAGUGGACGUAUACGGUGUGACGCCUGCCCGGUGCCGGAAGGUUAAUUGAUGGGGUCAGCGCAAGCGAAGCUCCUGAUCGAAGCCCCGGUAAACGGCGGCCGUAACUAUAACGGUCCUAAGGUAGCGAAAUUCCUUGUCGGGUAAGUUCCGACCUGCACGAAUGGCGUAAUGAUGGCCAGGCUGUCUCCACCCGAGACUCAGUGAAAUUGAACUCGCUGUGAAGAUGCAGUGUACCCGCGGCAAGACGGAAAGACCCCGUGAACCUUUACUAUAGCUUGACACUGAACAUUGAGCCUUGAUGUGUAGGAUAGGUGGGAGGCUUUGAAGUGUGGACGCCAGUCUGCAUGGAGCCGACCUUGAAAUACCACCCUUUAAUGUUUGAUGUUCUAACGUGGACCCGUUACCCGGGUUGCGGACAGUGUCUGGUGGGUAGUUUGACUGGGGCGGUCUCCUCCUAAAGAGUAACGGAGGAGCACGAAGGUUGGCUAAUCCUGGUCGGACAUCAGGAGGUUAGUGCAAUGGCAUAAGCCAGCUUGACUGCGAGCGUGACGGCGCGAGCAGGUGCGAAAGCAGGUCAUAGUGAUCCGGUGGUUCUGAAUGGAAGGGCCAUCGCUCAACGGAUAAAAGGUACUCCGGGGAUAACAGGCUGAUACCGCCCAAGAGUUCAUAUCGACGGCGGUGUUUGGCACCUCGAUGUCGGCUCAUCACAUCCUGGGGCUGAAGUAGGUCCCAAGGGUAUGGCUGUUCGCCAUUUAAAGUGGUACGCGAGCUGGGUUUAGAACGUCGUGAGACAGUUCGGUCCCUAUCUGCCGUGGGCGCUGGAGAACUGAGGGGGGCUGCUCCUAGUACGAGAGGACCGGAGUGGACGCAUCACUGGUGUUCGGGUUGUCAUGCCAAUGGCACUGCCCGGUAGCUAAAUGCGGAAGAGAUAAGUGCUGAAAGCAUCUAAGCACGAAACUUGCCCCGAGAUGAGUUCUCCCUGAGACUUAGAGUCUCCUGAAGGAACGUUGAAGACGACGACGUUGAUAGGCCGGGUGUGUAAGCGCAGCGAUGCGUUGAGCUAACCGGUACUAAUGAACCGUGAGGCUUAACCUUACAACGCCGAAG
This 2866-nucleotide ribosomal RNA is filed under the name Salmonella enterica subsp. enterica serovar Enteritidis. Its description in RNAcentral is "bacterial LSU rRNA". It matches the Rfam family "Bacterial large subunit ribosomal RNA". Lineage: Bacteria; Pseudomonadati; Pseudomonadota; Gammaproteobacteria; Enterobacterales; Enterobacteriaceae. The record is from RNAcentral.